CAUGCAAGUCGACGGAACAAGAAAAGCUUGCUUUUCGGUGUCGAGCGGCGGACGGGUGAGUAAUACUUAGGAAUCUACCUAGUAGUGGGGGAUAGCACGGGGAAACUCGUAUUAAUACCGCAUACGACCUACGGGAGAAAGGGGGCAGUUUACUGCUCUCGCUAUUAGAUGAGCCUAAGUCGGAUUAGCUAGAUGGUGGGGUAAAGGCCUACCAUGGCGACGAUCUGUAGCUGGUCUGAGAGGAUGAUCAGCCACACCGGGACUGAGACACGGCCCGGACUCCUACGGGAGGCAGCAGUGGGGAAUAUUGGACAAUGGGGGAAACCCUGAUCCAGCCAUGCCGCGUGUGUGAAGAAGGCCUUUUGGUUGUAAAGCACUUUAAGCAGUGAAGAAGACUCCAUGGUUAAUACCCAYGGACGAUGACAUUAGCUGCAGAAUAAGCACCGGCUAA
This 451-nucleotide ribosomal RNA is filed under the name Psychrobacter immobilis. Its description in RNAcentral is "bacterial SSU rRNA". It matches the Rfam family "Bacterial small subunit ribosomal RNA", at positions 54 to 500 of the family's 1533-position model. Lineage: Bacteria; Pseudomonadati; Pseudomonadota; Gammaproteobacteria; Moraxellales; Moraxellaceae. The record is from RNAcentral.